This is a long non-coding RNA of Manis pentadactyla (Chinese pangolin), 478 nucleotides long. RefSeq lists it as uncharacterized. The transcript has 2 exons. The record is from RefSeq and is a predicted model, not a curated record. Lineage: Eukaryota; Metazoa; Chordata; Mammalia; Pholidota; Manidae.
AAUGCUGGUUUCUGGGAUGCGGUGUCCAUCCCCACCCCAGAAGUUCCUGGUGCCAAGUAUGCUGGGCUCAACCUGGAAUUUCCCAUUGUCCCAGGAGGAGGUGUGAUGAGCAUAAGGAAGGAAAAACAGUGACUUCACUCAGCUGCUGGGUAAAGAGGCCAUGUUACUUAACCUCUCUGAGGUCCAGCCUGCUUAUCUUAAUAGCUCUGUGACAAGUUACCUCAUUGAUCUGUGCCUGGGUUUCCUUAUUUGGAAAAUGGACAUGGCAACACCGCCUACUACACAGGUUGUCCAGCAGCCAUGAGAGAAGGAGCCAUCCCAGACCUUCAGACCAGUCAGGCCUGCAGAUGACUCCAGCCCUGGCAGCAAUCUGACUACAAACACACAAGAGACCUUGAGUGAGAAAACUGCCCAGCUCAGCCAAGUCAAUGCACAGACACAGGAGAGAUAAUAAUACAUUGUUGUUUGAAACCGGUAA